GGAACAUUUUUGAUGAUAGGAACAUCCUUAAAAGACACUUAAAUGAUCUAGGUUGAAGUUUGUCUUUUCCAGGAGAUCGGUAAUGAAUAAAACAUUGGCAGCCAAACAUGCGAAGAGAAAUGUGGUCGGAAUUUUGGUAUGGAACUAGAAGAGAAUGAGGACAUUGAUGUUGUAAAACAGUGGAAGACAUUAUAGUACUUUUUUUUUAUAAUA
Molecule: unclassified non-coding RNA, 213 nt
Filed under: Hevea brasiliensis (rubber tree)
Lineage: Eukaryota; Viridiplantae; Streptophyta; Magnoliopsida; Malpighiales; Euphorbiaceae
Source: RNAcentral